Molecule: transfer RNA, 73 nt
Filed under: Actinomycetota bacterium
Lineage: Bacteria; Bacillati; Actinomycetota
Description: tRNA-Val
Rfam family: tRNA
About the family: Transfer RNA (tRNA) molecules are approximately 80 nucleotides in length. Their secondary structure includes four short double-helical elements and three loops (D, anti-codon, and T loops). Further hydrogen bonds mediate the characteristic L-shaped molecular structure. tRNAs have two regions of fundamental functional importance: the anti-codon, which is responsible for specific mRNA codon recognition, and the 3' end, to which the tRNAs corresponding amino acid is attached (by aminoacyl-tRNA synthetases). tRNAs cope with the degeneracy of the genetic code in two manners: having more than one tRNA (with a specific anti-codon) for a particular amino acid; and 'wobble' base-pairing, i.e. permitting non-standard base-pairing at the 3rd anti-codon position.
Source: RNAcentral
GGGCGGUUAGCUCAGUUGGGAGAGCGCUUGCUCGACAAGCAAGAGGUCACUGGUUCGAGCCCAGUACCGCCCA